GACGAACGCUGGCGGCGUGCUUAACACAUGCAAGUCGAACGAAGAGCGAUGGAAGCUUGCUUCUAUCAAUCUUAGUGGCGAACGGGUGAGUAACGCGUAAUCAACCUGCCCUUCAGAGGGGGACAACAGUUGGAAACGACUGCUAAUACCGCAUACGAUCUAAUCUCGGCAUCGAGGAUAGAUGAAAGGUGGCCUCUACAUGUAAGCUAUCACUGAAGGAGGGGAGUGCGUCUGAUUAGCUAGUUGGAGGGGUAACGGCGCACCAAGGCGAUGAUCAGUAGCCGGUCGGAGAGGAUGAACGGCCACAUUGGGACUGAGACACGGCCCAGACUCCUACGGGAGGCAGCAGUGGGGAAUCUUACGAAAUGGACGAAAGUCUGACGGAGCAACGCCGCGUGAGUGAUGACGGCCUUCGGGUUGUAAAGCUCUGUUAAUCGGGACGAAAGGCCUUCUUGCGAAUAGUGAGAAGGAUUGACGGUACCGGAAUAGAAAGCCACGGCUAACUACGUG
Molecule: ribosomal RNA, 510 nt
Filed under: uncultured bacterium
Lineage: Bacteria
Description: partial 16S ribosomal RNA
Rfam family: Bacterial small subunit ribosomal RNA
Source: RNAcentral